GCAGUUAUAGUAUAGUGGGUAAAUCUCAUUGUGGUUGUCAACAAAAAAUCUCUAAGACGAUGCCUGUUCGAUUCAGGCUAUCUGCA
Molecule: non-coding RNA, 86 nt
Organism: Lasiosphaeris hirsuta
Lineage: Eukaryota; Fungi; Ascomycota; Sordariomycetes; Sordariales; Lasiosphaeriaceae
Source: the annotation of a GenBank genome assembly